AACGCGAAGAACCUUACCUGCCCUUGACAUCCGGAUGACCGGUGGGUAAUGCCGCCCUCUCUCCGGAGCAUCCGAGACAGGUGGUGCAUGGUUGUCGUCAGCUCGUGUCGUGAGAUGUUGGGUUAAGUCCCGCAACGAGCGCAACCCUUAUCUUUAGUAGCCAGCAUUUAAGGUGGGCACUCUAGAGAGACUGCCAGGGAGAACCUGGAGGAAGGUGGGGAUGACGUCAAAUCAUCAUGCCCCUUAUGGGCAGGGCUACACACGUGCUACAAUGGCGUAAACAAAGGGAAGCGAGCCCGCGAGGGGGAGCGAAUCUCAAAAAUAACGUCUCAGUUCGGAUUGUAGUCUGCAACUCGACUACAUGAAGCUGGAAUCGCUAGUAAUCGCGAAUCAGAAUGUCGCGGUGAAUACGUUCCCGGGUCUUGUACACACCG
RNAcentral lists this ribosomal RNA (434 nucleotides) under uncultured bacterium. Its description in RNAcentral is "bacterial SSU rRNA". It matches the Rfam family "Bacterial small subunit ribosomal RNA", at positions 958 to 1392 of the family's 1533-position model. The record is from RNAcentral.